This 1653-nucleotide ribosomal RNA is filed under the name Triticum aestivum (bread wheat). RNAcentral describes it as "partial small subunit ribosomal RNA". Lineage: Eukaryota; Viridiplantae; Streptophyta; Magnoliopsida; Poales; Poaceae. The record is from RNAcentral.
AUGGGUUCCGAGGCGAUGGAAGCUGCGGGAGCGCGAGAUCCACCGGAGCGUCGCCGGGGCGCCGUCAUGGCCGUCCUCCUCGCCGCGCUGCCGCUGCUGCUCCUGCUCUUCCUCUUCGGCGACCGGGCCGCCUCCAUCGCCGCCGACGCCCUGGCCAGGGCGCAGGUGAAACAGCAGAGUCCACGUAACGCCUCCUCGUCGCCCCGGGAACCGGACCGGCUCCUCGGCGGCCUCCUCUCGCCGAACUUCGACGAGCCGGCGUGCCGCAGCCGCUACGAGGGCUCCCGCCGAUGGAAGCCGUCGCCGUUCCCGGUCUCGCCUUAUCUGGUCCGGAAGCUGAGGCAGUACGAGGCCAACCACCGCCGGUGCGGGCCGGACACGUCGCGGUACCGCGAGGCCAUGGCGCAGCUCCGGUCCGGCCGCAACGGCGACCGCGGCGAGUGCAGGUACGUGGUGUGGCUGCCCGUCCAGGGCCUCGGCAACCGGAUGCUCAGCCUCGUCUCCACCUUCCUCUACGCGCUGCUCACCGCCCGCGUCCUCCUCGUCCACGAGCCACCGGAGAUGGAGGGCCUCUUCUGCGAGCCCUUCCCGGGGACCUCCUGGCUGCUGCCCGCCAGCUUCCCCUACAAGGACGUCCGCUUCGGGUCGGAAUCCAAGGAGAGCUACGUGACCAUGCUCCAGAACAACGUCGUCCGCUACGACGGCGGCAAUGCCUCCAGCGCGCUCCCGGCGUACGUGUACCUCCACCUGGAGAACAUGAACCUCCGGCUCCAGAGCCACACCUUCUGCGAGGAGGACCACCGCGCGCUCGACGGCUUCAACUGGAUGGUGCUCCGCUCCGACAGCUACUUCGCCGUGGCGCUCUUCCUCGUGCCCACGUACAGCGACGAGCUGGAGCGCAUGUUCCCAUCCAAGGGGUCCGUGUUCCACCACCUCGGCAGGUACCUCCUCCACCCGGGGAACCCGGCGUGGGGGAUCGCGCAGAGGUUCUUCGACGGCUACCUCGCCGGCGCCGACCAGCGCCUCGGGGUGCAGGUGCGGAUCGUCUGGCACCACCCCGUCCCGUUCGACGUCAUGUUCGACCAGAUCCUCCGGUGCACGCGGGAGCACCGUCUCCUGCCGCAGCUCACCGGCAGCGAACCCCCUGCCAUCGUCCGGCCGUCGUCGAACACCACGGCGACGUCCAAGGCGAAUAAGGUGAAGGCCGUGCUGGUGGUGUCGUUGAAGCCCGAGUACUACGACAAGCUCCACGGCAUGUACUACAACAACGCCACCGCCUCCGGCGAGCUCGUCACCGUGUACCAGCCGAGCCACGACCAGGACCAGCACACGGAGGCGCGCGCGCACAACGAGCGCGCCCUCGCCGAGAUCUUCCUGCUCAGCUACUGCGACGAGAUGGUCACCACGUCGUGGUCGACCUUCGGGUACGUGGCGCACGCGCUGGCCGGCCUGCGCCCAAGGCUGCUGGCCCCGCUGGACUUGAGCAAGAUGAGGUCCGACGUGGCGUGCGUCAGGCCCGCGUCCAUCGAGCCGUGCCUGCACUCGCCGCCGUCGCUCGUCUGCCGGCGCAAGCAGGAUCUUGACCCCGUGGCCCAUGUGCCCUUCCUGCGCCAUUGCGAAGAUGUGGAUUUCGGUCUCAAGCUCGUCGACUGA